This 398-nucleotide ribosomal RNA is filed under the name uncultured bacterium. Its description in RNAcentral is "bacterial SSU rRNA". It matches the Rfam family "Bacterial small subunit ribosomal RNA", at positions 358 to 772 of the family's 1533-position model. The record is from RNAcentral.
GGAAUAUUGCACAAUGGACGCAAGUCUGAUGCAGUAACGCCGCGUGCGGGAAGAAGACCUUCGGGUUGUAAACCGCUUUUAUAGAGGACGAGUGAGGACGGUACUCUAGGAAUAAGUCUCGGCUAACUACGUGCCAGCAGCCGCGGUAAGACGUAGGAGGCGAGCGUUAUCCGGAUUCACUGGGCGUAAAGCGCAUGUAGGCGGUUCAUUAAGUCCGCGGUUAAAGCCCCCGGCUCAACUGGGGGAGGUCCGUGGAGACUAUUGGACUUGAGGGCAACAGAGGCACGUGGAACUCCCGGUGUAGCGGUGGAAUGCGUAGAGAUCGGGAAGAACACCAGUGGCGAAGGCGACGUGCUGGGUUGCAACUGACGCUGAGAUGCGAAAGUGUGGGGAGCAAA